UAGGAGCAGGGUGCGGGAUGGAUGGAGGAGGCUACUGCAGUGUUUAGAGUACUUGUCUUUGGUCACAGACAAGCCAAGAAUCUGCAUUUCUACCUAGUUCUAGUGUGCUUUGUACAGGAACUCUGAGAACCUCUGUCAGAGCUGUAAGCACCUGCUAUCAUUUAAAUGGUGAAGCUGAAAGAACACUACAGCUAUCAAGAAGCAGCUCUAUAUAUGCCCUGAUGAUAUAUUAAAAUUAAAUUAAUAAAUAUAU
Molecule: long non-coding RNA, 253 nt
Organism: Eptesicus fuscus (big brown bat)
Lineage: Eukaryota; Metazoa; Chordata; Mammalia; Chiroptera; Vespertilionidae
Exons: 3
Source: RefSeq, a predicted model, not a curated record